RNAcentral lists this transfer RNA (106 nucleotides) under Candidatus Cloacimonadota bacterium. Its description in RNAcentral is "tRNA-Gly". It matches the Rfam family "tRNA". Rfam says of the family: Transfer RNA (tRNA) molecules are approximately 80 nucleotides in length. Their secondary structure includes four short double-helical elements and three loops (D, anti-codon, and T loops). Lineage: Bacteria; Pseudomonadati; Candidatus Cloacimonadota. The record is from RNAcentral.
GCGGCCGUGGUCUAGCUUGGUUAGGACGGAAGCCUCCCAAGCUUCCAACCCGGGACGGCUUUGCCAAAGGCAAACCGCGGGAAUUCAAAUCUCGGCGGCCGCACCA